GACGAACGCUGGCGGCGUGCCUAAUACAUGCAAGUAGAACGCUGAAGGAGGAGCUUGCUUCUCUGGAUGAGUUGCGAACGGGUGAGUAACGCGUAGGUAACCUGCCUGGUAGCGGGGGAUAACUAUUGGAAACGAUAGCUAAUACCGCAUAAUAGUAGAUGUUGCAUGACAUUUGCUUAAAAGGUGCAAUUGCAUCACUACCAGAUGGACCUGCGUUGUAUUAGCUAGUUGGUGGGGUAACGGCUCACCAAGGCGACGAUACAUAGCCGACCUGAGAGGGUGAUCGGCCACACUGGGACUGAGGCACGGCCCAGACUCCUACGGGAGGCAGCAGUAGGGAAUCUUCGGCAAUGGACGGAAGUCUGACCGAGCAACGCCGCGUGAGUGAAGAAGGUUUUCGGAUCGUAAAGCUCUGUUGUAAGAGAAGAACGAGUGUGAGAGUGGAAAGUUCACACUGUGACGGUAUCUUACCAGAAAGGGACGGCUAACUACGUG
This 495-nucleotide ribosomal RNA is filed under the name uncultured bacterium. RNAcentral's name for it is "partial 16S ribosomal RNA". It matches the Rfam family "Bacterial small subunit ribosomal RNA", at positions 28 to 507 of the family's 1533-position model. The record is from RNAcentral.